This 839-nucleotide unclassified non-coding RNA is filed under the name Hevea brasiliensis (rubber tree). The record is from RNAcentral. Lineage: Eukaryota; Viridiplantae; Streptophyta; Magnoliopsida; Malpighiales; Euphorbiaceae.
AUGCUUCAAUUCAUCUUCAGCACCCAGAGUUAUGUUCACAGAAUCAAUGACUUGUACUCCAACAUUCUCAGCUACGAAUUUGCAUUGGCCGUUCUUUCCAGUGUAAGGAUAUGCUGCUUCAGUCUCAAGGCCACCAUUGUACUUAAUGUAUUCAAAAGCCUGGGAAGGCAGUCCACCAUUGCAGCCAAAGUUGUUAAAAGCACCUGCACAAUCCACCAGCUGCUGCUCGGACAGGGAGAUACCCUUUCCAUGUGCUUGUGCAUAGGCCGCUUCAAGCGCUCCAGUUGUACUGAAUGUCCAGCAAGAACCACAGUGGCCUUGAUCUUUAACAGGGCUAACUAUGCCAUCUUCCCUCCAAUCUUUCGAUUCAGGAAGAACAACAUCAGUAAGUUUGUGGUUGCCCUUUGUGGUAGCAGAGCAGUUUUGAGCUGCUCCUAGCCUGUGUUUCUUGAACUCUUCCCACGUCCAAUCCGCAAAUUGAUUAACACCAAGCUUGUAAGAAAGGCCUUUUCUAUUGGUCGAUUUGAUCAGUUCCAAACUCUCCAAGAAAAUUCCAAAUCGGAGUUUCAUCUCCUCCGCCGUCUCGUACUUCUUCCCAUACCUGUGAGCGAAUCGAGCGAAUCGGAGAGCGUGAGGAACUUGGCCGAGGACUUGAACGACCUCCGACUCCAACUCACGAAGACGGUCAGAGACCAUCCGAAUUGGAUUCGAAUCAUCGAAGACGGAUCCGGCAACUGCACAGCAAAGCACCAGAAGAACAGAGGAAACGAAGAACAGCCGUGGAGCCAUCUCUGCUGCAGAUUCUUACUCUCUCACUCUUCUUCUCUCCACAGAAUUUG